Molecule: long non-coding RNA, 350 nt
Organism: Sphaeramia orbicularis (orbiculate cardinalfish)
Lineage: Eukaryota; Metazoa; Chordata; Actinopteri; Kurtiformes; Apogonidae
Exons: 2
Source: RefSeq, a predicted model, not a curated record
CACAGUUAAAGAUAGUGAAGGUUCAGACAUGGAAUCCUGGAACAGUCCCACCAUCAGACGCUGCUCAGUUCUCAGGGGUGGAUCUGGACUCUAUGGACCUGGAGCAGCUGAAGAGAGAGAAAAUAAAAAAGAAACUUAAAGUCUUAAUGUUACAAGAGGAAUAUUACACAAUGAAAAUAAACAAACUGAAACAGUGACCUGUUGUCACUGUAGUAAAGUUGACUUUUUGUCAGAUUUUGUACACGACAUACUCAAGAUUGACCUCAUUUCUUACUCUUGUCAACAAUAACUGAAAGUGUCAGGCUUAGUUUCUUUUCAUUAAGCAUUUUGUAAAUAUAGUUUAUUUUGCA